UACGGAGGGUGCGAGCGUUGUCCGGAAUCACUGGGCGUAAAGGGCGCGUAGGCGGUCUGCUAAGCGUGCGGUGAAAGCCCGGGGCUCAACCCCGGGUCUGCCGUGCGAACUGGUGGACUAGAGCACUGUAGAGGCGAGUGGAAUUCCGGGUGUAGCGGUGGAAUGCGUAGAGAUCCGGAAGAACACCGGUGGCGAAGGCGGCUCGCUGGGCAGUAGCUGACGCUGAGGCGCGACAGCGUGGGGAGCAAACAGG
Molecule: ribosomal RNA, 253 nt
Filed under: uncultured bacterium
Lineage: Bacteria
Description: partial 16S ribosomal RNA
Rfam family: Bacterial small subunit ribosomal RNA
Source: RNAcentral